GGUCUCCCAGCCAAUAAGUUUGAGCAGAAACCUAUCCUCUACAAGACAGGGUUGUUCGAUUUGCCUAACCAAUGAGAAAAACAUGGCCUUUGGUUGUGGACACAUGACAUGUUUGGAGUGUGGAUCAAAAAUUCGCAAGUGCCAUAUAUGUCGAAUGAAGAUUACCAAUCGUAUUAGGUUGUUUCUUGAUUAAUUGAGGAAAGAGUUAGCAGGUCAUUUAUGCCAUUACAUGUGUGUCUGCAACAUCAUUAAAGAGACAUGUUUUUCUUUUUCAUUUCGGCUACAUAUGUUUUGCAGUAAGAUCAAAUCUUGACCAGUAGAUUUUACAGUGACAGUCAAGAUUAUUGAUCAAUAAAGGUCAUUUGACCAUGUGUAUAUAUUUCUUGUGUGAAUAUAUCAAAAUCUGUAUGAAUUUUGAACAACAAGGAGAUGACAAAAGUUAAUUUGUUGAGACAGUGUCAUCCAUAAAACUUGUG
Molecule: long non-coding RNA, 476 nt
Organism: Vigna radiata var. radiata (mung bean)
Lineage: Eukaryota; Viridiplantae; Streptophyta; Magnoliopsida; Fabales; Fabaceae
Exons: 3
Source: RefSeq, a predicted model, not a curated record